This 505-nucleotide ribosomal RNA is filed under the name uncultured bacterium. Its description in RNAcentral is "partial 16S ribosomal RNA". It matches the Rfam family "Bacterial small subunit ribosomal RNA", at positions 28 to 507 of the family's 1533-position model. The record is from RNAcentral.
GACGAACGCUGGCGACGUGCCUAAUACAUGCAAGUAGAACGCACAGUUUAUACCGUAGCUUGCUACACCAUAAACUGUGAGUUGCGAACGGGUGAGUAACGCGUAGGUAACCUGCCUGGUAGCGGGGGAUAACUAUUGGAAACGAUAGCUAAUACCGCAUAAUAUUAAUUAUUGCAUGAUAAUUGAUUGAAAGAUGCAAUUGCAUCACUACCAGAUGGACCUGCGUUGUAUUAGCUAGUAGGUGAGGUAACGGCUCACCUAGGCGACGAUACAUAGCCGACCUGAGAGGGUGAUCGGCCACACUGGGACUGAGACACGGCCCAGACUCCUACGGGAGGCAGCAGUAGGGAAUCUUCGGCAAUGGACGAAAGUCUGACCGAGCAACGCCGCGUGAGUGAAGAAGGUUUUCGGAUCGUAAAGCUCUGUUGUAAGAGAAGAACGGGUGUGAGAGUGGAAAGUUCACACUGUGACGGUAUCUUACCAGAAAGGGACGGCUAACUACGUG